GUAAAGUUCUUUUUAUGUUUUCAAAUGCCAUGAUAAUCAUUCUCGGUCCUUAUUUCACAUUGAUUUCAACCUCUACUCUCCAUUACUGCUAAUCUGUAAGUGCCAUGAAAAAAAGGAUCUGUUUUAUUUACUUUUCUGUCACUAAUGCAGGUCACAGUUGCCAGCACAGAAUGGUGUUUAAUAAAUGUUUGUUUCAUAAAUGAACGUGGAAUUUCUCCGAGGCAGCCAUGUUUUCUAUAAAGCGAAUGAAAACUAGAGAAAGCUGGUCUAUAGAAAAAGAAAAGAAUGAAGCAGAUAUGCAGAGGGGGAAAGAAAGAAGCACAGGAAAGAUGGAGAGAGAGUCCGGGCAUCUUUCCAGAUCGUGGUGUAUUAACUAGGAUACAGACUAUCAAGGCUCAAGGUGAAAGAUGCCAAUGAGAGAGAACCCUGUUGUUCGGGUUUUUUUUGAGGAAGAUUAGCCCCGAGGUAACAGCUGCCGCCAAUCCUCCUCUUUUUGCUGAGGAAGACUGGCCCUGAGCUAACAUCUGUGCCCAUCUUCCUCUACUUUAUAUGUGGGAUGCCUGCCACAGCAUGGCUUGACAAGUGGAUUGUAAGUCUGUGCCCAGGAUUCCAACCGGCGAACCCUGGACCACCAAAGCGGAGACCAUGAACUUAACCACUACGCCACUGGGCCGGCCCCAAGAACUCAUUUUUUUAAAUGCCUGUGCUAUCACCUCUCAGGCAUGUCUCUUCGUCUUCUUCUUUCUUCUAUAAUUGAAAUAUUUAAUAAACAACGUAUUCAACACCAUAUUGUAUACUUGAAAGUUGCUAUGAGAGUAAAGCCUUAAUGUUCUCACCACCACAACACCACGAUGGUAAUUAUGUGAGGUGGAGAACAUGUUAGCCAGCCCUGGGCUCUAGCGGUUAAGACUUGGGCCUGGGUUCAUUUCCCGCUGAGGGAACCACACCACCCGUCAGUUGGGUGUCAGACUGUGGUGGCUGCAUGUUGCUGUGAUGCUGAAAGCUCUGCCACUGGUAUUUCA
Molecule: long non-coding RNA, 1022 nt
Filed under: Equus caballus (horse)
Lineage: Eukaryota; Metazoa; Chordata; Mammalia; Perissodactyla; Equidae
Description: lncRNA (ENSECAG00000053615.1)
Source: RNAcentral